UGCUGUUUAUCUUUCUAAUGUUUGUCAUUUGAACUCAGACCUUGGAAAAACCUGGUGAAAAUUUGCAAAAGUUACCUCAGUUGACCAAUGGUGCAAUAUUGAAAGUUCCCCCAGGCACUUUAUGAUGCGGCUUUUGGGUCAGUCAGCAGGGAAGCUAACAACCCUGAAGCUGCCUUCGCUUAAUGUUAAAGAUGCUCAGACAUAUACAGCCACGAACCCCACUCGCGCUGAGAAUGAAGGA
Molecule: non-coding RNA, 241 nt
Organism: Chiloscyllium plagiosum (whitespotted bambooshark)
Lineage: Eukaryota; Metazoa; Chordata; Chondrichthyes; Orectolobiformes; Hemiscylliidae
Source: RefSeq, a predicted model, not a curated record